AGAAAAGCGAAGAAAGAGACAGAUAACAUGAUCAUGUGGGAAAGGGAAAAAAUGCCUUGACUGAAAGCAUUUUUACCAUAACGACUGUUAUUAUUUCACUCUAGAGCUGACACCGGGACCCUGUUUUAUACUACAGGUAAAGGUGAUCCGGAACAUUCCGUUAUCAUGUUAGAGCUGGAUGCAUUUUGUACGUUAAUGCGUCAAUUAGGGUGGUACCGCGAAUUUAUAGCCUCGUCCCUUUU
This 242-nucleotide non-coding RNA is filed under the name Oceanobacillus picturae. The record is from RNAcentral. Lineage: Bacteria; Bacillati; Bacillota; Bacilli; Caryophanales; Bacillaceae.